AUGGAGUUUGUGAGUUGCUCGGUGGCCGCAGCCGCCGCUGCUGGGGCGACGGCCACCGAGUCCCCGCGGGACCCGAGCCUGGUGCCCGAGCGGCUCCAGCGACGCGAGCAGGAGCGGCAGCUGGGGGUGGAGAAGCGCAAGCAGGAGCGGCAGAGCCAGGCGGUGGCCGAGGAGAAGAGCGACUUCUUCGCCUCGGCCUUCGCCCGCGAGCGCGCGGCCGUCGAAGAGCUGCUGCGGGGCGGCCCGGGAGAGUCGGCCGAGAGGCUGGAGGAGGCGGCGUCCCGGCUGCAGGGCCUGCGGAAGCUUCUCAACGACUCGGUGGUGUUCCUCGCCCCCUACGAUCUGCGACAGGGCCAGGAGGCGCUGGCGCAGCUGCAGGCGACCCUGGCCGACCGGCGCCACGAGCUGCAGCCCAAGAAGCGCUUCGCUUUCAAGACCCGGAGAAAGGAGGCUGCGGUGCUCAGCCCUGCCGACCAGGCAUCUAGCCCCCCGGCUGCUGCUGCUGCUGAAGGCAUCGUGAGCCCUUCGCCUGGCCCCUCGCCAGAGGCGGGGACUUUAGCCUCCAGCUGGGCCUGUGGCUUCUCCAACCUCCAGUCCCAGGUCUUGGAGAAGGGAGCCGAGGAGCUGCGCCAGCGCGACAUCCUUUUGACCGACCUGAGCGACUGCACUGUCAGACUGUAUGGCAAUCCCAACACUCUGCGGCUGGCCAGGGCCCUCCGCUGCAAGGUGCUCUGCGGCCCCGUGUCCACGUCCGUGUUCCUGGAGGACUGCAGUGACUGCGUGCUGGCCGUGGCCUGCCAACAGCUCCGCGUCCACACGACCAGAGACACCCGCGUCUUCCUGCAGGUCACCUGCAGGGCCAUCGUGGAGGAUUGCCGCGGCAUCCAGUUCGCUCCUUACACCUGGAGCUACCCGGGGAUGGACGAGGACUUCCAGGGCUCUGGUUUAGAUAGGAACAAAAAUAACUGGAACGACGUUGACGAUUUCAACUGGCUAGCCCGAGGUGUGCCCUCCCCAAACUGGAGUAUUCUUCCUGAAGAGGAGCGGGAGAUCCAGUGGGACUAAGCGGUUGUCAUUCUCUGUCCUUACCAAAUCCUUUCCUUCUGGGGGAUGACAACCUCUCGUGGCAUUCCGGUUUACUGCUGGCUGUCGCGUUGUUUUGAGGCUUGAAUUUGUGAACACCCUGCUUGCUUCCGCAUCAAGAGCAACGUGGAUGGGCGCUACCUGGUGGACGGCGUCCCCUUCAGCUGCUGCAACCCCAACUCGCCGCGGCCGUGCAUCCAGUACCAGCUCACCAACAACUCGGCUCACUACAGCUACG
This is an RNA transcript of Jaculus jaculus (lesser Egyptian jerboa), 1321 nucleotides long. It is a transcript of the gene named tubulin folding cofactor C, with no coding region annotated. The record is from RefSeq and is a predicted model, not a curated record. The transcript has 2 exons. Lineage: Eukaryota; Metazoa; Chordata; Mammalia; Rodentia; Dipodidae.